AGUUAUGAACUUCGUUAACUAAGUUCAUCACUCAAACGCUUUCACUACAUCUCCCAGCAGGGAAGAGCGAAGAUCCAAGGAAUGAGGUUUGCAAAACUUCUUCUGGUUCUGUUCCUGAUAGCAGGAAUCUGUUUGGCUGGUGGAAGAAAGGUAAUAAAUAUGGAGGAAACAAGCGUGAAGAAGGAAAACGAAGAAGGCAACAGUGGAAAUAAUAACGGCGAUGGCGGAAGCUCUCUGACUAAUCAUCAUUCUAUUCCCAGACAGGACUUUAAUGGUAAUGGAGGAGAUCAAGGCGGAGCCAAUUGAAUCAAAACACAUAUAAUUAAUAACUGUAUAUUAUCACAUACACACGCGCGCUUGGAUGUUGCUUGAUGUUUCAUUUUGUAUAAUAUAUGGUCGUGUUUGUAACAUAUGGUUGUACGUACGGUGUGGCUCUGUUAUUGUAGUCCUAAUCUGUAUAAUUAAUUGAUGUGUGAUUUGCCACGAUAUAUACUGUCUCUCUGAUUAACCAAUUGCAAGAAGCUUGUUUUA
Molecule: long non-coding RNA, 531 nt
Organism: Neltuma alba
Lineage: Eukaryota; Viridiplantae; Streptophyta; Magnoliopsida; Fabales; Fabaceae
Exons: 3
Source: RefSeq, a predicted model, not a curated record